This 524-nucleotide ribosomal RNA is filed under the name Iberesia sp. CRBAMM000553. RNAcentral's name for it is "partial 16S ribosomal RNA". It matches the Rfam family "Bacterial large subunit ribosomal RNA", at positions 1877 to 2714 of the family's 2925-position model. The record is from RNAcentral. Lineage: Eukaryota; Metazoa; Arthropoda; Arachnida; Araneae; Nemesiidae.
CUAACAGAGAUUCAUGUUAGUAAAGCCUGCUCAAGUAUAAUAAAUAGCCGCAGAACCCUGUGCUAAGGUAGCAUAAUAAUUUGCCUUUUAAUUAAAGGCUAGCAUGAAAGGUAUCACAUAUUGAUAACUUUAUUAAUUUAACAAUUUUAAAUUAACCUUCUAGUAAAAAGGCUAAAAUAUUUUAGGGGGACGACAAGACCCUGACAAACUUCACAUUUAUGUUGUGCUGGGGUGGCAAAAAAACAUUAUCUUUCUUAAUAAAACAAAACAUAAAAAUUAUAUAUUUCAUACAAGUUACUGCAGGGAUAACAGCAUAAUUUUUUCUUAGAGAUCUUAUUGAAGAAAAAGAUUGUGACCUCGAUGUUGAAUUAGGUAUCUAUAGAGAGCAAAAUCUUUACAAGUAAGUCUGUUCGACUUUUAAUAACCUACAUGAUUUGAGUUCAGACCGGCGCGAGCCAGGUCGGUUUCUAUCUCCUUUUAAAAAUUUUUAGUACGAAAGGAACAAAAUUUUAAUAUUCAAUUUC